This 501-nucleotide long non-coding RNA is filed under the name Vigna radiata. RNAcentral's name for it is "long non-coding RNA (VRAD_LNC010363)". Lineage: Eukaryota; Viridiplantae; Streptophyta; Magnoliopsida; Fabales; Fabaceae. The record is from RNAcentral.
CUGACAUUCCCCAAAAAGCAGUUGGGAAGGCAGUUAAGGGGAUUCUGAACGUUGGAGAAUAGGCCACGGUUGCGCAGAGAACCGCGGCCUAUUCCCUGGUCUCAGUAAAUUUUAAAAUUUUCAGGGCAUAUGCCGCGGUUGGGCGCUGAACCGCGGCAUAUAAGUUAAAUAAAAUUUCAAAAAUGCCAUUCUGUAUUAUUUUUUUAAAAUGAAUAGGCCGCGGUUAUGUGUAGAACCGCGACCUAUUCCCCCUUUAUGCCGCGGUUAAGUGGAGAACCGCGACAGAUUCUCUUCCGAGGGUUAAAAAAACAAAAUUCACCACACAGUUCGUCUUCCCCACGCGAUUUGUGAAACAGUUUUUCUUCCCUGUGCGAUUUCCGUCCAGGCGCUCUGCUUCUCCGUCCAGUCUCUGCUUCUCCUUCCAUCUCCGCGCCGGACCUUGCUUCUCCGCCGCAACCGUGCCGGACCCUGCUUCUCCGCCGCAACCUUCUUCUCUCCGGU